GCCGCCUCUCCCCCUAUCCCCCUGCCUCUCUCUUUCGUUUCAAGUCCCGAUCCCCCUCUCUAGGGUUCCGUUUUCGAAUCGAAGUCUAGGGUUCCGACUUCGAGUCCUUCGAACUGGUAAGGUGUCCUCUCGCUUCAUUUUUUUUGCCACUUGAAAGUGUGAAUUUUCGAUUCUUUUAUGUCAUCUCGGUGUUGGUUGAAGUAUUUAGCUGUCUGUGUCAAAAAGUUUGGAUUUUUGAUGACGCUGGUUGUAAAUUGAUGGGAGCUUGAUCAGCCUGCAAUUGGAGUCGGAGCUGGGCUUCUUGUGUGCUAUUAGGAUUGUUUCUGUUAGUUUGUAGGAUAUUUAGAUCAAUAUAUAUAGAUAAAAUGUUGAGGAUGAGUUGAUCCUGCUUUAGGAACUACUUCUUCAACUAUUAAUUUUUUUUUGACUUGGUCUUGUGAAAUCGGAGAAGGAAUUUGGGUGUUGCGAGCCUGCAAUUGCUGCUCUCUGUUUCCUUUUCCUUGAAUGAACACAUUGGUGUGCAAUGUGUACGGGUCUCCGCUGAGAUUUCCAAGGAACUCGAAGUCGAUCUCAUCAUGAAUAGGCCCUUGUGAUGAAAGCUGAAAUCAUGAUUAUGUAUCCUCCUCUGUGACACGCGGAGCACUAUGUCAACCUAUUGCUGUUUGUAAAGCAUGAAGGUGAAAUGGGCAGGAAACCUUGUAAGAUCUCAAGGCUUGGAUAGGAAGAUGAAAUCAUGAUUUACACUUGUGCUACUUCUCAGCUUGUUCUUUUCGGCUGAUGCAAAUAUUAUGUGCAAUUAAUGAGUGGAGUCUUACUGUUUUACCUGCUUAAAUGAUGAAUCAUAGUUUGUUAUUAAUCUUUUCUAACUUCAUUUGAGAUAAUCCCCUAUCAUGCUUGCUUAUUAUGGCUAUAAAUAUUGUCGGUUCUCGCUCGGUAUUGAGUAAAUUGACUGGAACGCAAUGGAGCAUUGGAGCAUUGGACCCAAGUUGAGCGUGACAAAGGGUUUGGAAUAUGCAAGUCUUGGAGUUUGAGAGAAUUAUAUUCCACAGUUCAGGAAAAUCUACAGGGAUUCUAUUUCUACAUAAGAUGAACAUGGGCUUGUGAUAACUGAAGGUUUGCUGAAGCUUAAGGUAAUGAAUCCGAUAUCAGGUGAAGGGUCUUCAUGCUUGUUGCUUCUCUCGGCAAAUUCUGGGAUGUCAAUUUGGGGGAAUGAAACAGAAUUGGUAUCAGAACGCUAUGUGUAAUAAUUAAGAUCUUAUUUUUGCCAGCUAGCCUUCAUUCUGUUUUGUUGAUACUCUGAAGUCUGUUAUUGCCAUUAUUCUAUUUUGUCUGAUUCUGUUUGCUGGGUUAUACUGUGCUUUCCCUUUAAUAUUCACGAUGUAAUUAAUAUAUGUAUUUUUGCCAGCUAGCCUUUCAUUGCGGUGUCUGAUUCUGUUUUGUUGAUAUUCAUUUGAUA
Molecule: long non-coding RNA, 1456 nt
Organism: Asparagus officinalis (garden asparagus)
Lineage: Eukaryota; Viridiplantae; Streptophyta; Magnoliopsida; Asparagales; Asparagaceae
Exons: 3
Source: RefSeq, a predicted model, not a curated record